This 485-nucleotide ribosomal RNA is filed under the name uncultured bacterium. Its description in RNAcentral is "partial 16S ribosomal RNA". It matches the Rfam family "Bacterial small subunit ribosomal RNA", at positions 28 to 523 of the family's 1533-position model. The record is from RNAcentral.
GAUGAACGCUUGCGGCGUGCUUAACACAUGCAAGUCGAACGGUGAACACGGAGCUUGCUCUGCGGGAUCAGUGGCGAACGGGUGAGUAACACGUGAGCAACCUGCCCCUGACUCUGGGAUAAGCGCUGGAAACGGCGUCUAAUACUGGAUACGAGUAGCGGCCGCAUGGUCAGUUACUGGAAAGAUUUUUUGGUUGGGGAUGGGCUCGCGGCCUAUCAGCUUGUUGGUGAGGUAAUGGCUCACCAAGGCGUCGACGGGUAGCCGGCCUGAGAGGGUGACCGGCCACACUGGGACUGAGACACGGCCCAGACUCCUACGGGAGGCAGCAGUGGGGAAUAUUGCACAAUGGGCGAAAGCCUGAUGCAGCAACGCCGCGUGAGGGAUGACGGCCUUCGGGUUGUAAACCUCUUUUAGCAGGGAAGAAGCGAAAGUGACGGUACCUGCAGAAAAAGCGCCGGCUAACUACGUGCCAGCCGCCGCAGUAA